AUGUAAGCGUUGAAGAGGAUUAUUAGUUCCCCAAUCGAUCAUGCAGAGAGCCGGUGGCAGGGUGAAAGCCGGUUGACGAUAGGAAUGAACUCGCCUUGGAGCUGCGAUGUCAACCCGGGAACAGCAGGGACCGAUGAAGCAUCGACGUCUCAUCCGCGAUAAGGAUGCAAGAGUGAGCGAAGGGCAAAGCAUGCCUUUGGCUAACUAGGGUGGUACCACGGGAAUCAAACCUCUCGUCCCUAGC
Molecule: non-coding RNA, 244 nt
Filed under: Paenibacillus sp.
Lineage: Bacteria; Bacillati; Bacillota; Bacilli; Caryophanales; Paenibacillaceae
Description: T-box sequence
Rfam family: T-box leader
About the family: Uncharged tRNA acts as the effector for transcription antitermination of genes in the T-box leader family. T-boxes are found upstream of many aminoacyl-tRNA synthetase genes and some amino acid biosynthetic genes usually in Gram-positive bacteria.
Source: RNAcentral